This 338-nucleotide long non-coding RNA is filed under the name Phoenix dactylifera (date palm). RNAcentral describes it as "long non-coding RNA (PDAC_LNC022664)". Lineage: Eukaryota; Viridiplantae; Streptophyta; Magnoliopsida; Arecales; Arecaceae. The record is from RNAcentral.
CGACGUUCAUCGCAUGAACGUUGUUUCAUGAACCGUUCGUAGUUAGGCAAGAAUUAAAAACUUUUAAAACCUUUAGAAGAUCAGAUCUUCACCUUGUGCGGGUAGAUGAUCACCGCAAACUGAUGAUCGUGGUUUUAGGAUGAAGGUUCGUUUGAAGCCGUUCAAACGCCCGGCCUCUACGGGUAUCCAUACGAAGCAGAGGACCGAUCAAAGCUUUCUUGUCUUUCCGGGGUGCUAGCUCCCUUGCAAAGACUUCUUUUGAUGGUUGAUCUCCUCUCUUUCAAUCAACCCUUGAUUGUGCUUGAGAGGAGGAAGAAGAAGGAUGAAGAAGAGGAAGA